CGGAGGAUCCAAGCGUUAUCCGGAAUCAUUGGGUUUAAAGGGUCCGUAGGCGGUUUAGUAAGUCAGUGGUGAAAGCCCAUCGCUCAACGGUGGAACGGCCAUUGAUACUGCUAAACUUGAAUUAUUAGGAAGUAACUAGAAUAUGUAGUGUAGCGGUGAAAUGCUUAGAGAUUACAUGGAAUACCAAUUGCGAAGGCAGGUUACUACUAAUGGAUUGACGCUGAUGGACGAAAGCGUGGGUAGCGAACAGGAUUAGAUACCCUGGUAGUCCACGCCGUAAACGAUGGAUACUAGCUGUUGGGGGCAACUUCAGUGGCUAAGCGAAAGUGAUAAGUAUCCCACCUGGGGAGUACGUUCGCAAGAAUG
RNAcentral lists this ribosomal RNA (366 nucleotides) under uncultured organism. Its description in RNAcentral is "bacterial SSU rRNA". It matches the Rfam family "Bacterial small subunit ribosomal RNA", at positions 526 to 896 of the family's 1533-position model. The record is from RNAcentral.